UCAAAAUAAACAUCGUCAUCUUCAUCCUCAUUUGUGUCGGAAGUGGUGGUAUCGGAGUUGGAACAAAAAGGGCAGGGCCUGAAUUUGGAGAAAAGAAGCCUGGGAUAGGGAGUUGAGAGGAAAAGUGAGGCGGUGGUUUUGACGGAGAGGAAGAGGUCAGUGGCGGGAGAAGAGUCGACAUGGA
Long non-coding RNA from Hibiscus syriacus, 184 nucleotides. RefSeq lists it as uncharacterized. The transcript is spliced from 3 exons. The record is from RefSeq and is a predicted model, not a curated record. NCBI's taxonomy places the organism in Eukaryota, Viridiplantae, Streptophyta, Magnoliopsida, Malvales, Malvaceae.